AACAGGGGAGCUUGCUCCCGCUGACGAGUGGCGAACGGGUGAGUAAUGCAUCGGAACGUGCCGAAUAGUGGGGGAUAACGCACCGAAAGGUGUGCUAAUACCGCAUACGCCCUGAGGGGGAAAGUGGGGGACCGCAAGGCCUCACGCUAAUCGAGCGGCCGAUGUCGGAUUAGCUAGUUGGUGGGGUAAAGGCUCACCAAGGCGACGAUCCGUAGCGGGUCUGAGAGGAUGAUCCGCCACACUGGGACUGAGACACGGCCCAGACUCCUACGGGAGGCAGCAGUGGGGAAUUUUGGACAAUGGGGGAAACCCUGAUCCAGCCAUGCCGCGUGUCUGAAGAAGGCCUUCGGGUUGUAAAGGACUUUUGUCCGGGAGGAAACCCUGAUCGUUAAUAGCGGUCGGGACUGACAGUACCGGAAGAAUAAGCACCGGCUAACUACGUGCCAGCAGCCGCGGUAAUACGUAGGGUGCAAGCGUUAAUCGGAAUUACUGGGCGUAAAGCGUGCGCAGGCGGUGAGAUAAGUCAGCUGUGAAAGCCCCGGGCUCAACCUGGGAACUGCGGCCGAAACUGUCUCGCUAGAGUACGUCAGAGGGGGGUGGAAUUCCACGUGUAGCAGUGAAAUGCGUAGAGAUGUGGAGGAACAUCAAUGGCGAAGGCAGCCCCCUGGGAUGAUACUGACGCUCAUGCACGA
This 692-nucleotide ribosomal RNA is filed under the name uncultured Microvirgula sp. Its description in RNAcentral is "bacterial SSU rRNA". It matches the Rfam family "Bacterial small subunit ribosomal RNA", at positions 70 to 756 of the family's 1533-position model. The record is from RNAcentral. Lineage: Bacteria; Pseudomonadati; Pseudomonadota; Betaproteobacteria; Neisseriales; Aquaspirillaceae.